AUUUGCCUCACUGAUGCAGACAGGAAGCUUCUGAGGACAAGAAAUGUCCCUUAUUACAUGCUUCUUCUCUGGGUAACCUCAUUUUGGUUUGAUGUCUAGACAGUAAUGCAGAGGAGAGCAUUAAUGAAAACGAAGAGCUGAAUUUUAGAAAGUUCUGCUCGACAGCCUCACAGCCGCCUUCACUAGAGAUGGAGCCAAGUCUUUGGGUUUUUAGAAGGUUGGCAUUUGCUGGAGCUUUGGAGUGAUUCAUUCGUUUUUCAUUUGGGCUUCAAUGAGCAGAUGACCUGAUUUGUGUGUGUACUCAUAGCGCACUGCUUUAGUUAAUGUACAAGGAAGCAGCAGAAAAAGGCACACUGAUUAUUUAUUUCUCAGAAGUUGCCCUGUACGGAUGGGAAAAAUAAAUAAAUAAAUAGGUCAUUUCAAGUGACCAGUAUGGAAAGAGAUCCCUCACAUUCAAAUUCCCUAACAACGCUGAGCCUAAGUAACAUCCCAAAAGAGCAUCUGCCAACUCUGCUUAUAAACGUCUGGGCCUAAGGUAUAUGUGUAUGUGACUUUCCUACAUAGACACUUCAAGCUGCUCGAGUGAUCUCUGUUCUGACCGUUAUGAAUCUUUGUUUACGUUGCCAUGACUUUGUAAAAGUGCCAAGAGAGAACAAGGCUGGCCUCCUGGUAAUGCUUGCUGUGAAUCACUGCCAUAUGCAGAGACUCUGAGUCAUCAAUUUGGGAAUCUUCAAACUGUUGAGGACCUACAUGUUGUUUCCUGCCCCAUGGUGGCCCAGGGGGAUGCAAUGGGAGAAGGAAAUGAUAGCCUGAGCCUGGAAGACCGAUUUCAGAGAAGUGACCAGUGUGCAGCCUGGUCCGCAUCAGUAGCACUGUCACUGCCAACAGGCCUGCAAAGGAAUGGAAGACAGCCUCACUGUGCCAGCACUGUAGAAAAAAUA
RNAcentral lists this long non-coding RNA (941 nucleotides) under Coturnix japonica (Japanese quail). RNAcentral's name for it is "lncRNA (ENSCJPG00005015630.1)". The record is from RNAcentral. Lineage: Eukaryota; Metazoa; Chordata; Aves; Galliformes; Phasianidae.